GACGAACGCUGGCGGCGUGCUUAACACAUGCAAGUCGAACGGAAAGGCCCUGCUUUUGUGGGGUGCUCGAGUGGCGAACGGGUGAGUAACACGUGAGUAACCUGCCCUUGACUUUGGGAUAACUUCAGGAAACUGGGGCUAAUACCGGAUAGGAGCUCCUGCUGCAUGGUGGGGGUUGGAAAGUUUCGGCGGUUGGGGAUGGACUCGCGGCUUAUCAGCUUGUUGGUGGGGUAGUGGCUUACCAAGGCUUUGACGGGUAGCCGGCCUGAGAGGGUGACCAGCCACCUUGGGCCUGCGGUACGGCCCAGUCGCCUACGGGAGGCAGCGGUGGGGAAUCUUGCGCAAUGGCCGGACGCCUGAUACAGCGGCGCCGCGUGCGGGAUGCCGGCCUUCGGGUUGUAAACCGCUUUCUCCUGUGACGAGGCGUGCGUGACGGUAAUGGGUAAGGAAGCCCCGGCUAACUACGUG
RNAcentral lists this ribosomal RNA (468 nucleotides) under uncultured bacterium. RNAcentral describes it as "partial 16S ribosomal RNA". It matches the Rfam family "Bacterial small subunit ribosomal RNA", at positions 28 to 507 of the family's 1533-position model. The record is from RNAcentral.